UUAGGGUUAGUUUAAUGAAAAUUUUUAAUUUUGGUUUAAAAAAUAAUCCAAAAU
RNAcentral lists this transfer RNA (54 nucleotides) under Spirocerca lupi. RNAcentral describes it as "tRNA-Gln". Lineage: Eukaryota; Metazoa; Nematoda; Chromadorea; Rhabditida; Thelaziidae. The record is from RNAcentral.